RNAcentral lists this ribosomal RNA (366 nucleotides) under Furcifer lateralis (carpet chameleon). RNAcentral's name for it is "partial 16S ribosomal RNA". It matches the Rfam family "Bacterial large subunit ribosomal RNA", at positions 2004 to 2597 of the family's 2925-position model. Lineage: Eukaryota; Metazoa; Chordata; Lepidosauria; Squamata; Chamaeleonidae. The record is from RNAcentral.
AUGAGAGAAAACCUGUCUCCUAAGGAAUGCCAAUGAAAUUGAACUGCCAGUUCAAAAGCUGGUAUAAAAAAGCAAGACAAAAAGACCCUGUGGAACUUUAAUUAACUGCUUUACAUAAUAUAAACCAGUAAUUUCAGUUGGGACAACUUUAGAAAAAAUAAACUUCCUAAUUUUACUAGACUAACUAGUCCAAAACAACCAUGACCCAGUAGUACUGAUUAACGAAACAAGCUACCCCAGGGAUAACAGCGCCACCUUCUCAAAGAGUUCAUAUCAACAAGAAGAUCUACGACCUCGAUGUUGGAUCAGGGUACCCAGACGGUGCAGCAGCUGUCAAUGGUUCGUUUGUUCAACGAUUAAUACCCU